AGAGCGAACGCUGGCGGCAGGCCUAACACAUGCAAGUCGAACGGACCCUUCGGGGUUAGUGGCGGACGGGUGAGUAACACGUGGGAACGUGCCUUUUGGUUCGGAAUAGCUCCUGGAAACGGGUGGUAAUGCCGAAUGUGCCCUUCGGGGGAAAGAUUUAUCGCCAUUAGAGCGGCCCGCGUCUGAUUAGCUAGUUGGUGAGGUAAUGGCUCACCAAGGCGACGAUCAGUAGCUGGUCUGAGAGGAUGACCAGCCACAUUGGGACUGAGACACGGCCCAAACUCCUACGGGAGGCAGCAGUGGGGAAUCUUGCGCAAUGGGCGAAAGCCUGACGCAGCCAUGCCGCGUGAAUGAUGAAGGUCUAGGAUUAGUAAAAUUCUUUCACCGGGACGAUAAUGACGUACCCGGAGAAGAACGCCCGGCUAACUUCGUGCCAGCAGCCGC
RNAcentral lists this ribosomal RNA (444 nucleotides) under uncultured soil bacterium. RNAcentral's name for it is "bacterial SSU rRNA". It matches the Rfam family "Bacterial small subunit ribosomal RNA", at positions 26 to 518 of the family's 1533-position model. The record is from RNAcentral.